Molecule: ribosomal RNA, 253 nt
Filed under: uncultured bacterium
Lineage: Bacteria
Description: partial 16S ribosomal RNA
Rfam family: Bacterial small subunit ribosomal RNA
Source: RNAcentral
UACAGAGGGUGCGAGCGUUACUCGGAAUUACUGGGCGUAAAGCGUGCGUAGACGGUUAUUUAAGUCGGGUGUGAAAGCCCCGGGCUCAACCUGGGAAUUGCAUUCGAGACUGAAUAGCUAGGGUACGGUAGAGGGAAGCGGAAUUUCCGGUGUAGCGGUGAAAUGCGCAGAUAUCGGGAAGAACACCCGUGGCGAAGGCGGUUCUCUGGGACGGUACUGACGCUGAGACGCGAAAGCGUGGGGAGCGAACAGG